GUACUGAUGAAGAGUCCCAAACUAGGACGAAACAUUUGUCCAGUAC
Non-coding RNA from Trichobilharzia regenti, 46 nucleotides. The record is from Rfam. Lineage: Eukaryota; Metazoa; Platyhelminthes; Trematoda; Strigeidida; Schistosomatidae.